UGGGGAAUCUUGCGCAAUGCGCGAAAGCGUGACGCAGCAACACCGCGUGAGGGAAGACGGCCUUCGGGUUGUAAACCUCUUUCAGGAGGGACGAAGGUCGGCCGGUGAAUAGCCGUGCCGACUGACGGUACCUCCAGAAGAAGCUCCGGCUAACUACGUGCCAGCAGCCGCGGUAAUACGUAGGGAGCAAGCGUUGUCCGGAAUCAUUGGGCGUAAAGCGCGCGUAGGCGGCCCGAUAAGUCCGCUGUAAAAGUCAACGGCUCAACUGUUGAAAGCCGGUGGAUACUGUCGGGCUAGAGUACGGAAGAGGCAAGUGGAAUUCCUGGUGUAGCGGUGGAAUGCGCAGAUAUCAGGAGGAACACCUAUAGCGAAGGCAGCUUGCUGGGACGUUACUGACGCUAAGGCGCGAAAGCGUGGGGAGCGAACAGG
This 429-nucleotide ribosomal RNA is filed under the name uncultured Solirubrobacterales bacterium. Its description in RNAcentral is "bacterial SSU rRNA". It matches the Rfam family "Bacterial small subunit ribosomal RNA", at positions 355 to 776 of the family's 1533-position model. The record is from RNAcentral. Lineage: Bacteria; Bacillati; Actinomycetota; Thermoleophilia; Solirubrobacterales.